AGCGUCUCUAGCUAUGUUGAGACGCGGCAGACGGCUCAGUAACACGUGGCUAACCUACCCUCAGGACGAGGACAAACCCGGGAAACCGGGGCUAAUACUCGAUAGGUGAGUAUGUCUGGAAUGAUUUCUCACUCAAAGGGCUUUAGAAACAUGCUUCUAAAGUCGCCUGGGGAUGGGGCCGCGUCCGAUCAGGUUGUUGGUAAGGUAAUGGCUCACCAAGCCUAUAACCGGUACGGGCCGUGAGAGCGGUAGCCCGGAGAUGGGUACUGAGACAAGGACCCAGGCCCCACGGGGCGCAGCAGUCGCGAAAACUCCGCAAUGCACGAAAGUGUGACGGGGCUACCCCGAGUGCCAUCCGCUGAGGAUGGCUUUUCCUUGGUAUAACUAGCCGAGGGAAUAAGGAGAGGGCAAGACUGGUGUCAGCCGCCGCGGUAAUACCAGCUCUCCGAGUGGUAGGGAUGAUUAUUGGGCUUAAAGCGUCCGUAGCCGGCUUAGCAAGUCUCCUGUUAAAUUCAGCGACCUAAUCGUUGAGCCGCGGGAGAUACUACUAGGCUAGGAGGCGGGAGAGGUCGACGGUACUUCUGGGGUAGGGGUGAAAUCCUAUAAUCCCGGGAGGACCACCAGUGGCGAAGGCUGUCGACUAGAACGCGCUCGACGGUGAGGGACGAAAGCUGGGGGAGCGAACCGGAUUAGAUACCCGGGUAGUCCCAGCCGUAAACGAUGCGGGCUAGGUGUUGGGGUGGCUACGUGCCACUUCAGUGCCGCAGGGAAGCCAUUAAGCCCGCCGCCUGGGGAGUACGGCCGCAAGGCUGAAACUUAAAGGAAUU
RNAcentral lists this ribosomal RNA (827 nucleotides) under uncultured archaeon. RNAcentral describes it as "bacterial SSU rRNA". It matches the Rfam family "Archaeal small subunit ribosomal RNA", at positions 61 to 866 of the family's 1478-position model. The record is from RNAcentral.